CUGGAGUGACGGGUACACUGUGGGGACCGCCGCUGCUAAGCGGAGAAGGAAUGGGCAACGGUAGGUCAGUAUGCCCCGAAUAUCCCGGGCUACACGCGAGCUACAAUGGUUGGGUACAAUGGGGUAUCUACCCGAAAGGGACGGGAAUCUCCUAAAACCAAUCUUAGUUCGGAUUGAGGGCUGCAACUCGCCCUCAUGAAGCUGGAAUCCGUAGUAAUCGCGUUUCAACAGAACGCGGUGAAUACGUCCCUGCUCCUU
This 258-nucleotide ribosomal RNA is filed under the name uncultured Methanosaeta sp. RNAcentral describes it as "partial 16S ribosomal RNA". It matches the Rfam family "Archaeal small subunit ribosomal RNA", at positions 1079 to 1338 of the family's 1478-position model. The record is from RNAcentral. Lineage: Archaea; Methanobacteriati; Methanobacteriota; Methanomicrobia; Methanotrichales; Methanotrichaceae.